Molecule: long non-coding RNA, 1039 nt
Organism: Micropterus dolomieu (smallmouth bass)
Lineage: Eukaryota; Metazoa; Chordata; Actinopteri; Centrarchiformes; Centrarchidae
Exons: 4
Source: RefSeq, a predicted model, not a curated record
UCUGCACGCGACGACGCAAACAAAAACGGCUAACUUGAUAACGCUUAAAGUUCCGGUUCUCCUGAUUUCAAGUUCAACAAGUUUUUUUUAAACAGUCACAGUAAGAAGCCAAAUUAGUUGAUACUUCACCGACUCACUGGCAUGUUAAUCCUCAGACUUCUCCUCUUCUUUGGUAUUUUCUUUGAGCUCUCCUUGCUGGACUCCAUCACCGUGCUUCCCAUUUUUGUCUUCAAAGGAGCGAAAACAGAAAAAAUUUUAUUCCCUCACCUGGGCUGUUGGGAUGGAAACGGAAGUGAUGUGCCUGCUGCUGUUGCAUCAUCCCCUGCGCCCCGCCGGGCCUUAUCAUCUGUCCCGGCCGUCCGUGAAGCCCUCCAUUGUCUCCUUGUCCAUGGAACAGCAUGGGGGGUCGAGGCUCCAUGCCAUGGGGGCCCACUCUAGGACCACUGAGCAUAGAUAUGGGCACCCUGUCUGGGGUACUGCUGACCUCAUAACUACUUGGGAUCUUUACACACAGCACAGGAAGCAUGGGGAGGACAGGAGACAGGCAGGGGGACGGUGGCUCUUCCUUUACCAGAGACAGGUCUGGGUAGCGACUGAUCUCCAUGCCAACCACACUCUCGGGAGAUGAGGAUGGAACAAAACUAUCAGCAUUUGUUUAGGUAUCUCACUAUGGGGCCAUGGUACAUGGGGCCGUCAGUAUUGGCAGGUUCAAAAGAUGACUUCAGCUUCUCUCACAAGUCCAACUACCCGACAGCCAACCUCAUGCUCAAAACAGCGUGAAGAGCUAUGACAUUCAAAUUUUACAACCUCCCACAAGCAACAACAUCCACAAAGAAAAGAAAACUACUUUCUAUGAGCAGCUCCAUCAUCUUUGUAAUCCAGCAACAGGGUUUAUUUGGGAUGGUGGUUCCCUCCUCAUUGGCAGAGAGUUGUUGACAGAGAAAAGUGUCUCCAUCCAUGAGGCUAGGGUGAUAUAAUAAAGGCAUGGAAAGUCCAUAGUCCCAUUAAUGUUAAAUAUACAUUUGUUUUAAAUUUUUAU